This 468-nucleotide ribosomal RNA is filed under the name uncultured bacterium. RNAcentral's name for it is "partial 16S ribosomal RNA". It matches the Rfam family "Bacterial small subunit ribosomal RNA", at positions 28 to 507 of the family's 1533-position model. The record is from RNAcentral.
GACGAACGCUGGCGGCGUGCUUAACACAUGCAAGUCGAACGGAAAGGCCCUGCUUUUGUGGGGUGCUCGAGUGGCGAACGGGUGAGUAACACGUGAGUAACCUGCCCUUGACUUUGGGAUAACUUUAGGAAACUGGGGCUAAUACCGGAUAGGAGCUCCUGCUGCAUGGUGUGGGUUGGAAAGUUUCGGCGGUUGGGGUUGCACUCGCGGCUUAUCAGCUUGUUGGUGGGGUAGUGGCUUACCAAGGCUUUGACGGGUAGCCGGCCUGGGAGGGUGACCGGCCACAGUGGGACUGAGGUGCGGGCCAGACGCCUACGGGGGGCAUCGGUGGGAGAUAGUGCACGAAGGGCGGAAGGCGGAUGGAGCGACGCCGGGUGCGGGAUGGCGGCCGUCGGGGUGGAAACCGCGUGCGCCUGUGACGAAGCGUGAGUGACGGUAAUGUGUAAAAAAGCACCGGCUAACUACGUG